CUUGACUUUCAAUUCACACAACACAACCCAAAACAAAGUCCCAGCUAAGCUUUUGACUUAUUUGGUUGUCAUCGCCUGACAACCGUUUUAAACAGACUGUUGCCAGACAACAGCAAUAACAACAACUCGUGGUGCAAAUUUUCAUUUUAGUCAUGGCCAGCAGCGGGAGUCGUGUAGGACGCACCGCCUCCACGAUGAGUGGAGGUCAAAAGUCCCGACAAACCUUUCCGACCCGACAGCCUUGCUUCACGUUAAAGCGUCCGCUGAUCUUUCAGGUGCGCAAAUCACUGGUGGAAUACGUGGACGAUGAGCUGCUAGAGAUGAAGACCUCGGUGUUUUAUCAACGCAUCUUCAUACUCGCCAAGAAUGUGGAACGGGAACGCGAGAGUAACCAAAGUACACAUGCCACACUUGCGGCACAUGCGGCCACAGCUGCCACAAUGGCUGCAUCGCGUCCUCAGCUGGAUGGCGAUACGGCCACCUUGAAGACAGCCGAAGUGAUGGGCGGAGGCGAUGAUGAGCACUAUUCACAGGCAUCCACAGUGGAAGAGUUGCCGACGCAGCCCAAGCUGGAACCUGAUGAUGCGCAGGAUCCUGAAAAGGAGACGUUGACACGCACUUUUAACUUUGAUUUCGACGAUGAUGCUCAAGGUGAGGAUGAAGCCGAAGAGCUGGAGGCGGAGGCAGAGCUCGAAGCAGGACCCAAGGAUAGAUACACACUGUUCACCGAGAAGCUGCAGGAGUUGCAGAAGAAGUGUCGCUACUUGUCUUAUACUCCUGAUCCCAUGUGUGGACUGCUUGUCUAUAUGAAUGAUUAUACGAUGCUAAUGCUGGAGAGUGGCGAAGACAUGAUGGGCAUCUUUUGCGGCGAGCUCUUGAAGUGCAUCGGCGACUAUUGGCAAUCGAAUCGUGUGGUGCUCAUCGAGGAUCACAUACAGGAUCUUUACACCAGGGAGCUUGUCUUUCGCCGCAUUCCAGCCGCCUUUCUCAACGAAAAGUUUCCGCCUUCGACGCCCACCGAUGAGUAUUUGAUGGGCAAACAGCAUCUGAUCAUCAAGGAGAAGAUGCACACCAUCUGCAGCCUUGUGCACGACAGCCUUGAACCGCGUGGCCUAACCGCCACAGAUCUCUCACAUGCCGAAUCCACAAUGGAUCCACCCUCCGAUAACGAGGGCGGCUUCGAAGGCAGCGAGGAGGAUCAUCCGCCGCGUGUUUCCUACCAGGCCAAGACCAGUUUAGCAUUAGCCUCCACUCAACUGGCUCCGGAUGUGUUUCGCAAACUCCUGCCGGAGAUUCAACGCAUUGAACUGGUGCUCGCUUCUACGCGUUUCUAUUACACGCUGCAGGAGUUUGCUGAUCUGUAUGGCAAGGUGCCGUUUGGCCGCGACGAUGAUAGCUUCUAUUGGCCCAUACAGAACAACUAUGCACCGCCCAACAUCUUUGUGCGCACACCGUUCGACAUUAAUCUGACGUUUGCCGACUACUCGGCGCAGAUGAAUCGUCGCAUGCAGGAGGAGCAGGAGAAGCACAAGGCUGAAAUGGAGGCAGCUGCUGCAGCGGAGGCCAUGGAUCAGUCGCAGGGUGGAGAGCAGCCACGACACACUAAUCAGCCCAAGGAGGCGGAAGCGGAUGUACUUCAAUCUCAUUGCAUAUUAUCAGCCAUCCAAGCGUCGUUGCUCUUUCUCGCUGUUGUCUCGUUGUUGUAUCUCGCUUAUCUGCCACAAAACUCGCUUUCGGUUACAAUGUUUUCGGCAUUGCGCACAUGACUGCAUUCGCCGUGUGUGUAGGAGGCAUUGGUUCAGUGGUUGCCCCACUUCCUUCCCACCACUACAUCCCUUUCUCCACCCUCUUCCUUACACUUUUGUGUGUGGAUAUGUGUGUCGCCUUGCUUACCUCGCUUACUUGUUUUGCGCUUGCCACUUGAAUGGCUCGACUUUGUUAACAUAAACAUAAAUUUGUGCACAUCCUUAAACCAAAACACAUACUCACACUCACACACAAACACACUCAUUCUCAUACACACACACAUAAUGAUAAACAAAUACAUAGAGCGCGCCAGCUGUCAGUUGUAAUACCGUUAACUUACAGCUGUCAAAAGCCGUUGCUGUCAUUUUAAGUCAGUUGACAGUCCAAAAGGCAAAUACACACACACACACACACACACACACACACACACACACACACACACACACACACACACACACACACACAAUCACACACUCACUCAGAGUGACUUGUAAGCUGCAAGAGCAGAAAUCAUCAAAAGCGAGGAAACAAAAACUAAGCUCGGUUUAUUUUGGGGCUGCAAAAAAUACAAAAACUCUUUAUGAAUAAUUUUUUUCUGCUGAAUUUGUAAAUGAAAUUUAGCGCAACUUUUGUGGCGGCAAAUAAAAUGUAAAAACGUGAGCAAAACACAACAGCAGAGCAGAGCGGAGCAGGACGCACGCACACGAGGACAGCUGCAGGCAGGCAACAGCAGGCUGCUGCAGGACAUGACUCUGACAAGGACACAAUUCAAUCAAGCGACACAUCAGCAGCAACAGCAACAACAGCAACGAGUGUCAGCGCAUAAACAAGGACAUUGCACUCCAGGGGGCGCAGCUCGACAGCAAGCAAAGCAAAGGGAGAACGAGAGACGAGCAGCAAAGCCAAACAUUUGCCACUGCAGUUUUCAUAAACUGCCAAGCAACGACAACAACAACAACAGCAGCAGUAACAACCACAGCAGCAACACUGGCGACAACAGCAACAAAAUGACGAUAAGCCGCUGCAAUGAGGAGCAGCAGCAGCUACAGCAGCACCGUGUGGCAUACAACUUGAGGCGCAAACUCAUAAAUUACAAGUGGGCCAAGUUAGCAAAAAGAAAAAAAAAAAAAAAAAAACAA
Molecule: RNA transcript, 2885 nt
Organism: Drosophila sulfurigaster albostrigata
Lineage: Eukaryota; Metazoa; Arthropoda; Insecta; Diptera; Drosophilidae
Exons: 4
Source: RefSeq, a predicted model, not a curated record